Molecule: ribosomal RNA, 253 nt
Filed under: uncultured bacterium
Lineage: Bacteria
Description: partial 16S ribosomal RNA
Rfam family: Bacterial small subunit ribosomal RNA
Source: RNAcentral
UACGAAGGGGGCUAGCGUUGCUCGGAAUCACUGGGCGUAAAGGGCGCGUAGGCGGCCAUUCAAGUCAGAGGUGAAAGCCCAAGGCUCAACCUUGGAAUUGCCUUUGAUACUGUUUGGCUUGAGACCGGAAGAGGUUAGUGGAACUGCGAGUGUAGAGGUGAAAUUCGUAGAUAUUCGCAAGAACACCAGUGGCGAAGGCGGCUAACUGGUCCGGUUCUGACGCUGAGGCGCGAAGGCCAGGGGAGCAAACGGG